UGAGGAUCUUACUUUUGAGUGUUUUUCUGGAUACAAGUUACCUCAGUUUGCGUUUGAGAGUCCGUUGGUGAGGAAUUUGAAUUUUCAGUACUGUAAGAUGAAAUUGGAACCUUCCGUUAAUGUGAACUGGAGAAAUCUAGUAUCUCUAUCAGUUGGAUAUGUGAAACUGACUGAGGGUGUCAUGAGAAAAAUAUUGUCGGGUUGUCCUAACUUAGAGUGCUUGCUAUUGGACUUCGUUUGGGGCUUUGAUCGUCUUGAAAUCAGCAAUGUGAAGUUGAAAAAGUUGACCCUAAACAGCUAUGAAACUAGUGACGGUGAUGUUUGGCUUGAAAUAUUAGCUCCGCAUAUUCAAAGUUUGGUACUUUUGGGGUAUUCCAGUGGGAUACGCUUGGAAAAUGUGGCUUCACUUGUCACUGCAUUCUUUCGUAUAGAUUUUAUGUUUGAUUUUGGAGAGGUAGAAAUAUUGGACCAGCGUGAGAUUAGUUGUCUGAAGGAACUUCUUCACAGCGUUGCCCAUGUCAAGAAUCUGGAAUUGAGUCACUGGUGCAUUGAGUGCAUGUCCAAACUGGCAUUGGAAGGCUUCCAGUAUCAACCAUCGAGCUCAAGAUUCUUAAAACUUCACACAAACAAUGAAGAGUUGGACCUACCAGGAAUUUG
Molecule: unclassified non-coding RNA, 657 nt
Filed under: Hevea brasiliensis (rubber tree)
Lineage: Eukaryota; Viridiplantae; Streptophyta; Magnoliopsida; Malpighiales; Euphorbiaceae
Source: RNAcentral